This 393-nucleotide ribosomal RNA is filed under the name uncultured bacterium. RNAcentral describes it as "partial 16S ribosomal RNA". It matches the Rfam family "Bacterial small subunit ribosomal RNA", at positions 523 to 918 of the family's 1533-position model. The record is from RNAcentral.
AUACGGAGGAUGCGAGCGUUAUCCGGAUUUAUUGGGUUUAAAGGGUGCGUAGGCGGAAAGUUAAGUCAGCGGUGAAACGCAGGUGCUCAACACCUGACCUGCCGUUGAGACUGGUUUUCUGGAAUGCGGAUGCUGUGGGAGGAAUGUGUGGUGUAGCGGUGAAAUGCAUAGAUAUCACACAGAACACCGAUUGCGAAGGCAUCUCACAAAUCCGCUAUUGACGCUGAGGCACGAAGGUGCGGGGAUCGAACAGGAUUAGAUACCCUGGUAGUCCGCACAGUAAACGAUGAUAACUCGCUGUCGGCGAUAGACAGUCGGUGGCCAAGCGAAAGCGAUAAGUUAUCCACCUGGGGAGUACGACCGCAAGGUUGAAACUUAAAGGAAUUGACGGGG